UUUCCCUUAUGGAUCCCCUUUGCCACCUUCAUGGAGUGGAUACUGGCGAGAAAUGGAUCUCCGUUCAUCUCACCGGAUCCACUCCAGAUUCAGUGCCCAGCUAACCAUCUCCCUGCGGUGCGGAGCAUCAGCUCGAGCCCACUGAUGACAAAGAGCCAAUUCCAGCUGUGAUCGACGAGCCAGCACAAAGCUGAGUGACUGAGCGGAGGAUCGUCCUGGACGUGGAGCUCAACCCGUCAGACCAGGUGCGAGAGCUGGCGACCACGUCCAACGUGAGGGAGCAAGCCGUAGACGGUGAGUGUGCAAAGUGGAGCUCCACCCACUGCACCGUCUACAGCUUGCUCCCUGAGGAUGGGCUGAUUAUACACCUGGGACUGCUGGACUUAGAAGGGGACUUAAUAGAAUGGGAAACUGAGCUGGAAGUCGACUUGCCCCCUCUCCUUUCUCCUUGGUCCCCGCUGGUACUGUCCAUCCUUAAGGGGGCUCCUGUUUCCCAGUCCAACCAGGAGUGGGCUCUGAUCCCGAGGGCAGCCCUGAGAGCCCGGAGGCUCACGAAUGCCCGCCCACCCGCCCGCUCUUGCCUCCUCUACAGUCUGUCAUCUGCCAGCCCCUCUGCUUGCCCUCAGCCCACCAUCAAUACCAUGCGAGUGCCGCAGGUCUGCCAUCCUCCAUCGUCGCUGUGGCUGGAGCAUCCCUCUCCUCUGCCCUCCAGCCUCCGAGACCCGGACUCCACCUCGGACAAUAGACCCAGUGGCUCCAUCUUGGCUCCCAGCUCCCUCGCCUCCACCAUCACCCGUCAAACCCCUUAUCCACCGGGUUCCCUCGUCCCUCCGGCUCCAUCUCGGUCUGGUGUCGACCAUUCUGCACCUCUGGAUCUCCACCUCCGCCUUGGUCGCCAGAGCCCUCAGCUCCACCCUGGCCCCCCGGAUCCUUGUCAUUCCCCUGGAUCGUUGGCUCUCUCGGUCUCCGUUUCCACUCCUUCACCACCUGCUCUGCCGCCAUUGGUCAGCCCCCUGCAUUCGGCAGCCAUUCCUCCUCCCUGGCUCCUCCCUCCAUUGUCUCCUCCCUGGACUCUGUCUGCUGGCCACCCUCCGGGGUGUCCGUCCUCCUCCGGAGCUGCCUCCUUAGUCCCCACUUAUUUCGAUAUGUCAGGAUUAUGGACCUGUUUUGUUGUGUUUUGCCCCUGUCUUUGUUCCUGGUUUUCCUUAAAUGGUCUGUUUCCUGUCCUCAUUUAGUUUAAUUAUGAUUUCUGGCACCUGUGUUAUUACACCUGUUAAUUAUCCCCAGUAUUUCAGUCCUUGCUUUUGCGUUCUGUGUUUGUCUGUUCUACUUGUUAUGUUUGAGUGUUUACUGCCAUCUCCUGUGUGGAUGUACCCUGUGUUUUGUGGAUUAAAGACUAUUUUCGUUUACUUGUGCCUCCUGUGUGCUUCCUAAAUUGCAAACUGUGACAGUGGUAUUUACAAAAGUUAAUUGUAAUGUGAAGUUAUUUCAGACAGCCAGAGAAGCUGGCCUUCUGAGAAAGGAGAG
Long non-coding RNA from Cyprinus carpio carpio, 1527 nucleotides. Lineage: Eukaryota; Metazoa; Chordata; Actinopteri; Cypriniformes; Cyprinidae. The record is from Ensembl.